This is a non-coding RNA of Elaeis guineensis (African oil palm), 4441 nucleotides long. Lineage: Eukaryota; Viridiplantae; Streptophyta; Magnoliopsida; Arecales; Arecaceae. The record is from RefSeq and is a predicted model, not a curated record.
GAAAUCAUUGCAAGUGAAGGAGGCCUCUGCUUUCCUCGCCAUUGACUUGACUCCGGUUCACUCUUUCUGAGGAGGAGACCAGAAGGAGGCCAAAGCUCUCUUUGCUUGCUUGCCGUGUCUGAUCAGAGCAAAAAGGAAACUGAGGUUGCGCAAUGGCGAGCGCUUUCCUCUCUUCCAUCCUAUCAAAAACCAGCCAAGUUUUGGGCUAUGUUCAUAGAUGGGCAGCCUCGCCAUCUUAUCCACGCAGCAGUGUCUUGGAAGAUCUGGAGGAGCUGGAGAGAACAUUGAAAAGGAUCCAGGCAGUGCUCCAUGACGCGGAGGAGAGGGAGAUACGAGAAGAAGCCGUCAAGCUCUGGCUGAAGGAGCUUAAAGAAGUGACUUAUGAUGCGGAAGAUGUGCUGGACGAGUACCAGUACGAGGUACUGCGAGCCCAAGCGGAAGGCGGAGCUUCCCGCAAGAGGAAGCGAGUGGAAGCAAGGGACGAUGAGGAAGAGGUAAGUACUUCUCUUUCCACCAUAGUUAAUGUUUCAAUUCCCGAUGGCAUGGGCGAUAGAAUCAGGAAGAUCAGGAAGAGGUUCGAUGAGAUCUCGGAGGAUCGGAAACGCCUCCGUUUAAGAGAGGAAGAUGGAGAGCGACGGGUCUUCAGAGCUUUGAGCCCACCACCAAGCAGCCACAUGGUGGAUGAGUCGAGUAUUUAUGGAAGGGAACAUGACAAACAGAAGGUAAUUGAUAUGCUGUUUUCUGAGGGUAUGGAAAAUGGUAUCUCUGUCAUUCCGAUUGUCGGCAAGGGAGGACUGGGAAAAACCACCAUCGCUCAGCUGGUCUACAAUGACUCCAAGGUCAAAGAAUAUUUUGAUCUGACUGGAUGGGUUUGUGUAUCCGAUGAUUUUGAUGUUCCGAGGCUAACAAAGGCCAUCAUCGAGUCUAUUACUGAAAAAUCAUGUGAUCUUAUAGAAAUCAGCCCACUUCAAAAUUCUCUCAAGAAAAAGGUGGAGUGGAGGAAACUAUUGCUCAUCUUAGACGAUGUCUGGAAUGAACAACAAAGCCAUUGGGAGUCCUUAAGAAUCCCUUUUGUUGGAGCAGAAACAGUAGUAAGUAUUAUUGUGACCUGUAGGAAUGAUUCGGUUGCCAAGAUCAUGCAGACAGUGCUUCCUUAUCAUCCUGGCUGCUUGUCUGAAGACGAGUCUUGGUCAUUAUUCAAGCAUUAUGCAUUUGGUGGUCGAGACCCUGAAGAACAUCCACACUUGGUGCAUCUCGGUAAGCAGAUUGUCAAGAAGUGUUCCGGUUUACCAUUGGCUGUGAAGACAAUAGGAAGCCUUUUAAGACACGAGAUGGAUGAAGACAGUUGGAUGGAGGUCUUACAAAGUGGUCUAUGGGAACUGGACAAGAACAAUGAGACUUUGGCAUCUCUUAGAUUAAGCUACAAUCGCAUGCCAGCACAUCUGAAACCCUGUUUCAUUUACUGUUCCAUGUUUCCAAAGGAUUAUGAGUUCGACAAAGAUGUUUUAGUCAGAUUGUGGAUGGCGCAAGGUUACAUCCCACCUCGAGGUAGAAAAACAAUGGAGGACAUCGGAGAUGAAUGUUUUAAUGACUUACUAACAAGAUCAUUCUUUGAUUCCUUAAAUUACUUACCUCAUACUACAUUUAAGAUGCAUGAUAUGAUACAUGAUCUAGCAAAAUCUAUUGCUGGAAAUGAGUGCUAUGCAAUUGUGGAUAAGAAGCUACCCGGUUCUCCUGAUAAGGUUCGCCAUUUGUACGUGCAAGGUGUCGGGGAAUUAGUGAAAUCACCGAGCCCCCACAAUGUUAGGGCCCUACGGACCUUGUCACGAGUGGAACACUUGGGUCCACCUUCAAUAGUAAUCCAAGAAAUAACCCAGUUUUCGCUGCUAAGAUGUUUAGAAUUUUGGUGGGAAAAAGUUGAGAUCCCAGAUUUACUCGGUAACCUGAAGCACCUACGCUACUUACAUAUCAGAUCCUAUUGUAUUAAGAAGCUUCCUGAAUCAGUAUGCCUCCUUUACCACCUACAGACAUUGAUUCUUGAUUGUCAUGCUCUUGCAAAGUUACCAGAUGGCCUAGGUAACCUUAUUAACCUACGAUGCUUGAAUCUAUUUUCACAAUGUAUUAAAAGGCUUCCUGAAUCAGUUCGUCAGCUGCGCAACCUGCAGAGGUUGGGUCUUAACGAGUGCGGAGAACUUAAAGAGUUACCCAGUGGCAUAAGAAGCCUUACUAACCUCCGCCACCUAGAUACUAGGGACACUCAAAUUCUCUGUCUGCCAGUUGGAAUCGAAAAGCUAACAAAUCUUCAGAUAUUGCGUGGACGUUAUGAAGUGCAGGGUGGGAUAGGAGUGUUCAAGGACUUGGUGAACCUCCAAGGAGGUCUUUGCAUCGGAGGGCUCGGGAAUUUGGUCGGCAUAGAGGAUGCGAAGGAUUUGGGUCUUAAAUAUAAGCAUAAACUUGAGCGGUUGCAUCUACAUUGUCCCCGCAAACAUCAUUGCUAUUCUGAUGAAUCGGAUCUAGAAGUUUCUCUAGAGGAAAAUAAGGAUGUUCCAGCCGAUGAAAAAAGGGAGGAAGCGCUGCUUGAGUAUCUCCAACCUCCCACCAACCUCAAAGAGUGGGUUAUAGAUGGGUAUGGUGGUUCCAAGUUUCCAAAAUGGGUGGGAAAUCCUUUAUCCUUUGCGUCACUUCGAAAAAUCCAUAUAAUUGAUUGUAAAAAAAUAAUGUCCCUUCCUCUAUACAUUCAUGACUCUCCUGGAAAAUUGGAUGCAUCCAUAUCAAAAUCCAUGCUUCAGAGGGUGUGCAUUUCUGGUUGCCAGCAGCUCAAAUCCAUCGCAGGCCUGCAUAAUCUCCACUCACUUGUGGAACUGAAUAUAUCUGUUUGUCCUCUACUCCAGCUCUUAUCAGAGGAAGGACUGCCAUCCAAGCUUCAAUAUCUGCAUAUUGAGGGGUGCCAACAGUUGACAUCAUUGCCGGGGAUGCAAAACCUUACUUCUCUUACAAACUUAAGCAUAACAGAUUGUCCUAAACUUCAGAUUAUGGUAGAAGAUCGGCUCUCAUCUAUGCCUCGCUAUGUGCGUAUCGUUGAUUGCCCUGCAUUGGUCAACUGGUGCGAAAUACAAAAAAUCAACUGCAUUCAGGUCUUUUCAUCGGGCAACAAGCUGACUAUAUCGAACACGUGGGAGAAGAUAAUGCAUGGGUUUGAUGAUUUGACAUCCAUUGAGCAUCUUCAUUUCACUAAUUCUUGGCAUUUGCUUCCGGAAAGAUUCAGCAUAAGCAUACUUGAAGAGCUGACAAUAUGGGGUUGCAUGCACAUCCCGCUUCUAAGCUGCCUGCCCGCACUCACAUCUCUCCAAAGCUUGGUUAUAAAGGACUGUCCUACAAUCCUAGUCGUGACAGAUCAACUGCUUCCACACACGCUGAAUUCCUUGGUAGUUGAUAGUUGCGAGGACCUAAGGCGUUUGCAGUUGGCGCAGCAGAACCGAGAUGCACUUGAGGUGCUGCAUAUUGUGAACUGCCCCAGGCUCACGAUGGUGGAAGGGCUGAAUUGCAUGCGCAUCCCACCUACAAGCUGCCUGCCCGCACUCACAUCUCUCCAAAGCUUGGUUAUAAAGGACUGUCCUAGAAUCUUAGUCGUGACAGAUCAACUGCUUCCACGCACACUGAAUUCCCUGGUAGUUGAUAGUUGCGAGGACCUAAGGCGUUUGCAGUUGGCGCAGCAGAACCGAGAUGCACUUGAGGUGCUGCAGAUUGUGAACUGCCCCAGGCUCACGAUGGUGGAAGGGCUGAAUUGCAUUUUCUUCCCCAAAUUCUUAACAAUAGAGCAAUGCCCUCAACUCCUGCUUCCACAUUCAGGAAGCAGAGAACAAAGAAACAAUUGAUGAUGCAACCUUGGAGAAACGAGUGAUGAGGCGUGAGGUGAUUCGACAUUUUACAAAUGCUGUAUCUCCAAUGAUUGAUGCUGCAGCUGAUUGCAGCAUGGGUCAAUUCCUAGAAAGGCUUCCUUCUAAUAGCAGCUCUCAUUCCCUGGCCCGGGGAGGGGGGAUGUGGGGGAAUGAUCUUGGCAUCAAUUCUUAAAUGAUUCCAACUUCUACCACCUGCGAAAGGGGUGGUUUCGCAAAUAGUCAACAACAGUAUGGUAGGUCCACACCAGAAGCAUCUUUAGGUAUGCUUUUCCACGUGCUUGUGUUUGCUGGGAAUUAAGGUUUGUAAAAAGGACUUGCAGAUUCUGAUUGCUACUUCUGUGUUCUAUAGCUUGCAAAUUGCUGACCUUUUGGUAUGGCAUUGUUACAAUUUUAUAUUACUCAACUAUUUGAUACAGUCACUGAAAAAAUAGAUCAUAUUUGAUCAGCAAGGUUGUGACCAACAUAUGAAUUGAUGCUUCAUGUCCCUGACCAUAUGACAAAGAAGCAAUGCAAAUAAAAUGAGCAUCACUUCGAGGGAAAAA